GACGGAGGAUGCAAGCGUUAUCCGGAAUGAUUGGGCGUAAAGCGUCCGUAGGUGGCAGUUCAAGUCUGCUGUCAAAGACCGGGGCUCAACCUCGGAAAGGCAGUGGAAACUGAACAGCUAGAGUAUGGUAGGGGCAAAGGGAAUUCCUGGUGUAGCGGUGAAAUGCGUAGAGAUCAGGAAGAACAUCGGUGGCGAAGGCGCUUUGCUGGACCAUAACUGACACUGAGGGACGAAAGCUAGGGGAGCGAAUGGGAUUAGAUACCCCAGUAGCCCUAGCCGUAAACGAUGGAUACUAGGUGUUGUCUGUAUCGACCCGGACAGUGCCGUAGCUAACGCGUUAAGUAUCCCGCCUGGGGAGUACGCACGCAAGUGUGAA
This 376-nucleotide ribosomal RNA is filed under the name uncultured bacterium. RNAcentral's name for it is "bacterial SSU rRNA". It matches the Rfam family "Bacterial small subunit ribosomal RNA", at positions 524 to 898 of the family's 1533-position model. The record is from RNAcentral.